RNAcentral lists this ribosomal RNA (882 nucleotides) under Amanita aff. lavendula 1 KWH-2017. Its description in RNAcentral is "LSU rRNA". It matches the Rfam family "Eukaryotic large subunit ribosomal RNA", at positions 67 to 934 of the family's 3401-position model. RNAcentral also lists the same sequence under 1 other name. The record is from RNAcentral. Lineage: Eukaryota; Fungi; Basidiomycota; Agaricomycetes; Agaricales; Amanitaceae.
AACAAGGAUUCCCUUAGUAACUGCGAGUGAAGAGGGAAAAGCUCAAAUUUAAAAUCUGACAGUGUUUUGCUGUCCGAGUUGUAACCUAGAGAAGUGUAACCUGUGCUGGACCAUGUACAAGUCUCCUGGAAUGGAGCAUCGCAGAGGGUGAGAAUCCCGUSUUUGACAUGGACYACCAGUGCAUUGUGGUUGUGCUCUCAACGAGUCGAGUUGUUUGGGAAUGCAGCUCUAAAUGGGUGGUAAAUUCCAUCUAAAGCUAAAUAUUGGCGAGAGACCGAUAGCGAACAAGUACCGUGAGGGAAAGAUGAAAAGAACUUUGGAAAGAGAGUUAAACAGUAUGUGAAAUUGUUGAAAGGGAAACGUUUGAAGUCAGUCAUGUYGGGUGGGGAUCAGCCUGGCAGAUUGUUGGGUGUACUUCCUGGUUGACGGGCCAACAUCAGUUUUGACUGCCAGAGAAAGGYGAAGGGAAUGUGGCACCUUUGGGUGUGUUAUAGCUCUUUGUCGUAUGUGGUGGUUGGGACUGAGGAAAGCAGUGCGCCGAAAGGCAGGGUUUCGACCACAUUCGCACUGAGGAUGUUGGCAUAAUGGCUUUAAGCGACCCGUCUUGAAACACGGACCAAGGAGUCUAACAUGCAUGCGAGUGUUUGGGUGGAAAACUCUUACGCGGAAUGAAAGUGAAAGUUGAGAACCCUGUCGUGGGGAGCAUCGACGCCCGGACCAGAACUUUUGGGACGGAUCUGCGGUAGAGCACGUAUGUUGGGACCCGAAAGAUGGUGAACUAUGCCUGAAUAGGGUGAAGCCAGAGGAAACUCUGGUGGAGGCUCGUAGCGAUUCUGACGUGCAAAUCGAUCGUCAAAUUUGGGUAUAGGGGCGAAAGACUAA